RNAcentral lists this long non-coding RNA (3692 nucleotides) under Sus scrofa (pig). RNAcentral describes it as "lncRNA (ENSSSCG00035059654.1)". The record is from RNAcentral. Lineage: Eukaryota; Metazoa; Chordata; Mammalia; Artiodactyla; Suidae.
UCCACCACAGACAUUGAUGUGACUCCACUUGACCUUCUCUUUUCCUGGGAAAUCUUCAGCGUCUUCCCGGGCUUGCUAGACAUAAAGUUGCCUUCAGAACCAAAAGAGUCUAUUGCACUUGGAGGCAUUUGGCAGAGACCCAGAGUCUCUUAGGUUUGUGCCUCAGCGUGUCUUGGAGAUGGAACAGGUUCAUGCCUGCCCGGUUAGUAGCGAGAAGGGAGGAGAGGACCCCAGGGGGAUGGGGCUGCAGAGCUCAUUCAGGAGUCAAGGGCAAAACCUCAUUGUGCUCGCCCAGGGCCAGUAGCAAGGCCUGGGUGGGUCUGUCGGGUCUAAGACCCCUCUUCACCUGGGAUCGCAGCCUAUGCUGAUUUGUGAAUGCCUCGCUCCCACCCCACUUCUGGCUCCAUCUACUCCCGCAACCCUGACAAAAAUCCAUAUCCUUGCAGUUUUGACCUACUCAUCUGUAGACCUUGCUCAAGAGUAAUUUUCGCUGGGUAUUAACCUUUGUACAACAAAGUUGAUUGCCAACAGCUAGAAAAAUUCUUUAGGAAAAAAACAUGGACAAAAAUAGAAAUAAGAAUACUGGCGUGCCUCAUGAGCCAGCAAGUGGCUAAGCACCUUACCUGGCUUAUCUCCUUACAUCCUCCCAACCCACUCUCCACCCCCCACCAAGAACGUAGGUACUAUAUUGUCUCCUUUUUUGCUGCUGAAGACACUGAGCCUCAAGGAAAUAAGAACCCUAAGUUUAGCCAGCUAGCCUGACCUGGAUGGAACAGGGUCAACUUUUCUGAAAGCCAGCUUCCCUCCCAGACUAGACUUGGGAGAGAAACCUGCUCACUAGGAGGGCUAAAGGGAGCCUCUCUCUGGGACAAAGUGGUCCUUUUCUGUAUAGCUCUGUCCCAGCCUGUAGGGAGCCAGGAAAGUGUUUUCUACAGGCUCCAGCUCACAGACCAUUCAGCUGGGAGGCAGUAACCAGAUGGACCAGCGAUUCCCAUCCAGGGCCCAGCUUGCUGCUGCCAGGGCUAGGAGUCAGUAUGACCCUGCACUUGCCAUGAUUCAGAGGUGAAGCAGAGGUACUUGCUGUGUCAUAUGUCCCCACAAAAGGAGUGCAGGAUAAUAAUUCCUUUGUGAGAGCCCUUUAAAAGAGCACUUACAUUUGUAAGGGGGUUGGGGAGAGAGAAAAAGAAAAGAAAGAACCUCUAAUUUUUGGGUAUAUUUAUCCUGGGAGAUGAGCACAUUUUGGUGGUGGCAAACAGUUCGGUGAUUUGCAACAUUAGAACAAGUAGUUCUAUUUCCAGUAUGCUCCCUGUGAUGAUGGGGAGAGGUACUGAUAUAAACACAGGCAAGAGUAUUUCCUUUUUACUAAGAAGUCCCAUUUCCUCGUGGGACUUCAGGAAAAUGUUCUCAGGGUGAAACAGAGAGUUGUCCAUUUAUGUUUCCAGAAGUUCCUGCCUGUGGGUGCUGAUGGGGGAACAAAUGGCAAGAAGGGACGCACCCCAUUUUUUCCCUCUUAAUUUACUUCAAUGCUCUUUUCACAGAUUUCAUGAAGAAUCCAACUUUAGAACUAAUUUUUUUUUUCCAGCUAGGAAAGCAGAUUAUGCCUUAGGCAUAAUCAUAGCAGACUUAUGUAGUAGCAAUAAUAGAGAAGGAUUAAUUUUCCUACCAAAUUGGUGUAGGUAGUAUUUGACCUAACUUUUUUCUUUUCUUUCGGUAUUUUUUUUUUUAAUAUUCUUGUGAGGGUGAAGCGAUUUUGAGAGCACUCUUAGAAUCUCUCUCUCUCUCAUAUAUAUUACUUCUCUGUGAGGCUAAGCAUCUAAUUUUUUUUAAGGCUGAUGUGGAAAAAAAAAUCCUUGUACCUAGUUAGUCAUUUUUUAAAAAAAAUUCACAGCAGCAAAAUGACAGACAGCUUUCAAAUCUUCAACUUGUAGGAGGGAACCCCAAUGUGUAUUACUCAUCUGGAAGAAAAUGGUCAGCGUGGGUCAGUCAGUCCUAGGGGAAUAUUGUAAAUCAAGAUCAGCUGUGCCUUCCUGGUGACACUCCAGGCCUAUUCUGCUUUUAGAACCUCCUGGCUUGGGAAGUGGAUCAUGCAGGCCAGGGGGAGGUGGAAGCAUGGGUGGGGCCGUGGGUGUAGCAUGAAGAAUACAGAAAUCUAGUAGGAGGGGGAAAGAGAGAUUAUUUUCCUGCUCUCCAUGGAAACUUUUUCACUUAUGUGUCUAUUGCACGCCCACUAAUUGAGUAGGUAGGAUGUUCCCAGCAUGGUACAAGACACUUGUGGAUACAAAGAUUAGUAAGUCCUGGCCUCAAGGAGUUUUCAAGUCUGUGGGGGUGAAGCAAGCAAACAUGACAUCAUCAUACUCGCUGAUAACAGGUACAAAGAUCUUUGGAAGCUUGAAAGAAGGUGGUUCUUCCUGCUUCAGAAAACCACCUGGGAAAACUGUCAAUAGUGAAGGUGAUUUAAUCUGGGAUUCAGAAGGUGUGGGAGGUGGAGCAGAACAAGGAUGGGGAGAAGAAAGAAAUGGGAACUCCAGGGGGAGGGAGGCACAGAGUAAAGGUAGGAACAUUCAGACCAGGUUUUGAUUUCUCUGAAGGACAAUCAUGUUUAGUUUCUUGGAUUAUUGAGGUUUGUGUGAAGAAGCUAUGGGUUUCUCACAUCUAAUUCUUAAUUAGAAUGUGUCUUCCUCCGCCCUGUCAUUCUCAUGAUGGGUAGGGGCAGUGGAUUUGAAAUGGUUUCCAAGAGAAUGGAGGUUCUUUUUAGUCUGAUGGAUGAGCCACAUUUAGAUUUCCUUCUAGAGUGAGUACAUUGAGCUCCUUGUGUCCUGGACAUUUAACUGAAGUUUUAAGACAGAGAAAGCCACGUAGAAGUGGACAAGGUUGUGAAAAUAUGAGACAGUAUUAGUACAAGGAGCAUUGUGUUCCCCUGCUUCAAAUUCCUGCCAGGAUGUAUUCCUAACUUUGCAUGUGUGCCAGAAGUUUGGGUACCAUUGGCUUCCUCUUCAGUGCUUAUGCUUCUCUCAGAACAGAUGAAACAUGCUGUUUUGGUUAGUUCUAUGUGUCUCUCUCUCCCUUGGGGCUGGAAGCCCCUCAGAGGCUGGGAGUAGAACUGUUUCACUUAUAUUCCCAGCUCCUGGCACGGCGCCAGGCACAUAAUAAGGGCUCAGUCAGUUCUAAAUGAAUGAACAAUGCAAAUGUAAGGCUUUUACCUUGUGUUCAUGAUAGCUGGAGAAUCUGAAUAUCUUUUUAUGUUUAUCAUUUAGAGUUUUUAAUUAUGAUUGCAAAAAGUAAUCACAAUUACAACUAGUUCUAAUAAAAACCAGUUCGUAUGGUGGGACUAAUCUGUUGAGGUAAAAACCAUGAGCACAAUAGUUAUUAAACUGUGUCCUCUGCCUUGACUUUGGAUAGUCACCUCCAAGAAACUCAAGAGCCACAGGGUUGUAAACAAAAGGCUUCAAAUCCAUGUUGUCCAGUGCUCUGGUUACCUCUCAGCAUGAGGAUUAGUCUUCACUAUGCUCCCUAUCUUAAUCUUCAUACCUUCAGAACCAUAGUAACUUCUCAUACAACCCAAACUCACUUUUUGCAUAUAUUCUGCUGUGGUUAUUUUGUUGUCAUUUGAUAUGCAAUUUGAACAUUGGCCAACAUACUUUCUUAGUCAGACUACAGUGAGGUUAGGAUUCUUCUUCCUAUGGCUUCUAUAU